ACCUGGUUGAUCCUGCCAGUAGUCAUAUGCUUGUCUCAAAGAUUAAGCCAUGCAUGUCUAAGUAUAAUAGCUUGUACUGUGAAACUGCGAAUGGCUCAUUAAAUCAGUUAUCGUUUAUUUGAUAAUACCUUACUACUUGGAUAACC
RNAcentral lists this ribosomal RNA (146 nucleotides) under Ochromonas sp. CCMP1393. Its description in RNAcentral is "partial Eukaryotic small subunit ribosomal RNA". It matches the Rfam family "Eukaryotic small subunit ribosomal RNA", at positions 1 to 148 of the family's 1831-position model. Lineage: Eukaryota; Chrysophyceae; Chromulinales; Chromulinaceae. The record is from RNAcentral.